Molecule: ribosomal RNA, 253 nt
Filed under: uncultured bacterium
Lineage: Bacteria
Description: partial 16S ribosomal RNA
Rfam family: Bacterial small subunit ribosomal RNA
Source: RNAcentral
UACGAAGGGGGCUAGCGUUGCUCGGAAUGACUGGGCGUAAAGGGCGCGUAGGCGGUUUGUACAGUCAGAUGUGAAAUUCCUGGGCUCAACCUGGGGGCUGCAUUUGAUACGUAUGGACUGGAGUGAGGAAGAGGGUCGUGGAAUUCCCAGUGUAGAGGUGAAAUUCGUAGGUAUUGGGAAGAACACCGGUGGCGAAGGCGGCGACCUGGUCCUUUACUGACGCUGAGGCGCGAAAGCGUGGGGAGCAAACAGG